Molecule: small nucleolar RNA, 108 nt
Filed under: Echinops telfairi (small Madagascar hedgehog)
Lineage: Eukaryota; Metazoa; Chordata; Mammalia; Afrosoricida; Tenrecidae
Description: Small nucleolar RNA SNORA61 (ENSETEG00000026241.1)
Source: RNAcentral
AUCUUUCAAAUUCCUUACCCCUCAGAUCUAAACAUUGGUGUGAAUGACUGAAAAAGGAGGAAGAGUAAAACUGAAGUGACCUGACAUAAAAGUUUAAUUCAAACAUAU